Chinchilla lanigera (long-tailed chinchilla) is the source of this 3621-nucleotide long non-coding RNA. The record is from Ensembl. NCBI's taxonomy places the organism in Eukaryota, Metazoa, Chordata, Mammalia, Rodentia, Chinchillidae.
CUCCGCGCCCCUGCCGCCCGCCUGCGGCCCCCGGCCCCGCAGCGACGCGGUCGCCGCCACCUCCGAGAAGGAGCUUCACCCACACCGACUGCCGUGGGCACAGUAAUUACAUAACGCCCUCCGGAUUGUGGAGAGGGAGGAGGAUUUUAGGCACGAAAACACAUGGCGAUGUCUGAGGUGAAGUUCUGUUACUCCAAAAGGCCGGUGCAAAACGCGUGGUUCCCUCCAGAUAGACGUCAGUUUCCAGAGAAGAUGACUUUCCUGCAUCCAGAUGGGAGAGAAGCAUUUCCUGCCUGUUUUCCUUCCCCAUCGUCGUUGCUGAUGCCUGAGCUUACAAAAACGACUGCAAAGCUCUUCCUGAAGAAUAACCAUUUAGGUACUAAUGUCCCCAAAAUAAAAUCCUACCGUCUCAUUUUUUGAUAGUUUCUUGCUUCUGAAUUAGCUCUUGGCUGUAGUUUUGCUUUUUAAAAACACAACCAUCGGUAUUCCCACAGCUGCUUUCCCCUGAAAUGAGUGAGAAGGGUCAUCUGAGUAUGCUCCUUCCUGAGACAGACCUCAGUCCCUAACCCUUACCCUAACCCUUUGCCAUCCUACCCAGCAUGCAUCUGUGCAUUUUCUGCGUGUUCACAUUUCCCUAACUUUGUCUUUCACAUACGGUUUCUUGGUGUUAUGUGCAGGCUUUUGUAGAAGCAUUCAGAGCUAAUGCCCCACCAAGAACUCAACUGGAGAAGAGAUCUUUGAGCUUGGUGGCUGUGUACCGACAUCUCCUUCAGAGGCUGUGGGACUGUUGGGCCUUCAGCUUCAGAGGAAUCACCAUGUUCACCUCCCCGAGCCCACGAUAGGUUGACGUUCCCUACCACAGUGUCACAUGCCCCCUAAGUUGGGGCUGACAUGCCCAGUGUAAGUGGGCAUGUCACAUGUCAGCCCAUUUUCUUUUAAAAUGAAGGAAUAACUGAAAGACACAAAAAAUAGAUGUUUUCUUUAUAAACAUCUCUUAAGGUGUUUAAAAUAUUUACCUGUAAAACUAUGAGAUAAUCCCUGUGUAUCCAGAAAGAUAAACUUCGCUCAUUACCUCUCUUUCGGAUAUCUUGCUGCUUUGAGAGACAGCCCCCCCACCCCCAUGCACCCCACUGAUUUCUUGAACAUUCUUUGGAGAUAACAGACACUGCAGAAGAAAUGAUAUUUCAGGGUAUUGGGAAAAUUUUUCACCCACAAUCUUAUGCCUGGAUUAAUUUAUUUCUCACUUGGGCAAAAAAGGAAAUGUUAUAAAGUCUAAAUGUUGAAGCAACAUAAAAAUUUCCACAGAGAAAUUUUACUUCAACUGAAGAAAAUAAUAAGAGUGAGCCACCAACUUACUUUGAUAAAAAAUGAGCUUUUAAUUUUGUCUUCCACUGCAUUAUAUAAGCCGACGCUGGCUGCAUCUAUAUGUAUGUCCUCCACGUCAGGAUUUCAAAGACAGGAGAAAGCCCAGUACACAUGGUAAUGAUAGAAAACACAGCAGGAGUGCCUUCUCUUCUCGUACGUGUGCACAAGACGAAAGCUCCUCAGAACGCAGUGGCGUUUAUUUGGUGCAGACCGCUCAUGCUAUGCGUACUGGAUGGCAUAGCUGCUUAGCUACAUUCCGCGAAAAGCAGAACAGCGCUUUAUUUCUUUAAGAUACCAAAUGCUUCACACAGAGGGUGGAGGAUUAAAUAUUUUAAGGCAAGCCCGCAGACAUCGUUCAUGCCUUUGGUCGACUGCACUAGGAUUCUUCCGUGGAUGCUGGUACACAUGUCUCUUGAAAUCCUAGACUCUGAGAUAGUCUUCAAACCACAACACAACUUCUCGUUGCCGUGUCUUGGGUUUUGUAAACAGUUUAUACAGAGAGAACAAGCAGGUCUCGGAAAUGGCCAGACGCUGAAAUAAGCCCUGGUUCUGAUGGAUGCGACCAGUCUAGUGUAUGACUGUGUUCUUGUCAUCUUCCAGAUGACGUUUCUUUCUUUAUCUUCUUCUUGCCCAUGACUGAAAUGUAAAUUAGUCAGGCCUGGCUUUUAUGCUGUGGAACUCUAUGUAACUUUGUAAUUGAAGUUCAUGAAGUUAGAACUCAAAUUAUUGAUGAGGUCGAGUUAUGUCAUUUUGAAACUGUAAUGUCUGGCCUGGAGGCGACCUCCGGAAAAAGCUCAGGGAAGCCCACAUUUUCUGCAAAUGUUAAUAUCACAGUCGACUUAGAUGCCCUCUGCAGAACUCACUGGCCCUGACGUGAACUUACUCUUCUUCUGAGAAAUUAAAAAGGACUCACAAUCAAGUAUAAGUUGUAUCUGUUGAUUUCUUCAUUAAUGAGAAAUGAAUAUCUCCUUCUGAAACAAUCUUUAGCCAGCUGCAACCAGACAAGCUACCGUAGCUGUUGUGGCUGAAUCUACUGUUUGAGGGAUGUUUCUUUUUGUUUCCAAAUUAUCUUGCAGUUAAAGUUCAGGAUUCGUGAUAUUUAUUAUCUGUGCUUUUUUCAUUAAAAGUCCUGUGGGUUUGAUUAGACAUGAAUAACUACCGUCUACAUCUAUUUUUGUGCAACAGAUAAUUAUUUGGGGAAAGAAAGCAAAACUACAAGAAAAGCAGCAAUUUUUGGUCGAGUCUAUAAUUUCCAAGCUUUUUCAUGCUUCUGUGCCUAUAUUUACCACUUGAAUGAAAGUAAAUAAUAACUUUUAAUAAUGCUUUUGGAAAACUCCUUUAAGAAACAAAGUAAUUUAUAAAUAUUGCACUAGCCUUAUAUUUAAUAUGUAUAUUUUCCAAUUAAGGGUGGUUUUGAGUACUAUAGAUGUGGGCUCAAGUUUCUUCUCAGCAUUUAUUGUCUGUUACGGCUCUGUCUAGACAUCUCCUCAAAACCUCAUGUGGUCACAGAAGGGGCUUUUCAGUGGUGGCUGGACCUAGGGUGUGUGGUGCUGGGCUCAAGAGUGUGUGAUUAGUAAACCAGCCCACUGAUUGGUUUGGCGUGGUUUUGAGCAUAGGCAAUGGGUAGGUGUGUGAGUGCUGCCUGCCCUAAGGGUUGAAGCCUGGACAGAAUAAAAGGGAGAGAAAGAGGGCUGCUGCUGUUGCUUGCUGUUUCUUUGCUGCUUUGCUGCCUUCUGCCCACCAUGAACUGUUUCUCCUCUGUGAUGCCCCUCUGCCAUGCCACCCUGCCUUGGAGCCAGCCAACUAUGGACUGAACGUCUGCAAACCAUGAGCCAAAAUAAACCUUUCCUUCAACUUUGGGUGUGGAGUGUUUAGUCUCAGCAAUGACAGAAGUAACUAAGGCCUUACCUGCAUGUCCUAAGCCAGUGGCUUCAGCCCGCUAGACCUCACCCAGCUUCCCGGUAAGUUUGUGUUUUGUAUUUGGCACAGGUAGAGCAAAACAACACAAGCACAUGGCCUAGCACAGCAUCAGGUACACAGUAAGUGCUUGUAAAACACUUACAUCACUUAUCCCUGCCUUUGAUUCAGAUGGCAAUGGAAAGAGUAGCUCAUUAGACCUCAGAGUGAUCUGUUCAGGAGCAAUGCACAGUAAUAUUCUGAGCCUCCCAGAGGAAAACUGUGGUAAAUUACUGCAUUGGUAGGGAAGAAUUAAGAGCUGGUACAUGGGGGAAAAAAAUUGAGAUACUUCAAAACAAA